UAUGUUGCUGAAAUGUUAGAGGGCACCUGAAUCACCACAGCUGCUCCAGCACCUCCAAGGUGUCCUUCCAGCUAUAGCAGCCCAUGGCACUGAAGAACAAAGACAGCACUGCACACCUAAGUGAGAGGCUAAUAUCAACUUGGCAAGUCUUGGGGCAGGAGAAUGAAAAUCAUCUGUUCAGAGAUUCAACUGCAUAGUGCAUCUCAUGUGGCAGAUUGAGAGGAAUGAUUUCAGCACCAUCGGUGAAAGUUUCAGGAAGUUAUGAGCAGAAACUGUUCUGCAAU
Long non-coding RNA from Malaclemys terrapin pileata, 284 nucleotides. RefSeq lists it as uncharacterized. The record is from RefSeq and is a predicted model, not a curated record. NCBI's taxonomy places the organism in Eukaryota, Metazoa, Chordata, Testudines, Emydidae. The transcript has 3 exons.